ACUCAAACCAUCAAAAACACAUUCUCUCGCGCCUAACUCUAUCUCGAACCAGCAGCAACCCAGAGCAACAAACCCUGCAGCAAUCCAAUUUAUAAAACAGUCUCUCUCUCUCUCUCUCUCUCUCUUUGCAGCCUUCAGCUUUGAUCUUUUUCAUUCUGGAUCUGAUUCAUAGCCGCUUAAUCUCGAAGCCCCGAUCUAUCGUCAGCUGAGGUUACAUGUUGCUCGGGUUUUGGCAAAUUAAAAACCCAAGCUUGAGCCCUUCGAUCUCUCUUCGUGAAACCCUAAAAUCCCAUUCCUAGAUGCCAAGUUAUCUGCUGGUAUAGGUCCUAUCGAAUCUAUGCCUUAUCAUCUCCGGCAGAAGUCGCCGCUUCCUAAAUACGAACCCAGCUUUUGGUCAAAUGCAAAUAAGGGCACUUUUCUAUUCUCAUUGCAAAGAAUUGGUAUCCAAGACUAUGAAUUUCCUGGAACGAAGGUGGGAGGUUCCUGUUCCUCGUGCAAUUGAAGUUAUUUAUUCUUCUUCAUCUGGAGAGGGCACUGAUCCUCGCUUUGUAAAAUUGGCACCAGUAUUUAGAUGCUCAAUGUUGAAGUCUGGUGACAAAAAAAGGCUGAUUCCACAGUCUCACUGGUUUUACCCUGGUCUACAGACCCAGGUAUCAUGCGCAAGGCUGAUUAUCUUUUCAAACUUUUGUUGAAGAGUCCUGUUCCGGCACCUCUGGCAAUAGAGUUGGCACUCUUUGGCAGGAAACAUGAUCUCAUCAAGCUUGGCACUCUAAAGGGUGGGAUAUGCAAAAAAUAUGGGAUCAACAAGACUUUGUUUACUCUACAGCUUCGGAUCUGAACAACUUGGUGCAAUAUACACAGGGUCCACUGUAGACAGUUGAAUCAUGGAACCUGAACAAAACAUAGAGCAUACAUUGCUUCGUCACAUAAGACCGUAUCAAAUUACUUUCAAAAUCAGAGUUCGUGCAUCCAGACUGUGGAGACCGAAAAAAUAUAGUAGUGACAUAUACGAUGGCCUCCAUUAUCUGUUAGUCGACGAAGAGGCAAGCUUUUUACAAUUUUCUUUUUACAAUUACCAUAAUUGUUUCAAAACUCUUAACAUAACUUUCUUCAUUUCUAAAUCUGUGCAAAACAUGCUAUUCACGGUUUAAUUGAGGAAUCUGCUUAUCCUUACAUGUCCAAGAAAAUGGACGAAAGACAGGUGUAUGACAUUACCUAUUUGUAUAACCGAAAACCUAUAUGAAAAUAUAAACUUGCCGAUCAUGUGGUAGAACUGUGUUUCAAUGAGUCAACAAAGUUUGAGCCUGUAAUGGAUGCAUUCCCUCCAAUCCCAGAACAUUCAUUUAACUUCCUUCAUUUUGACAACUUGGAGGACCAGAUGAGGACUCAGACAGUACUUAAGGAUGUUUAUGGUUGUAUCAAAUCACUCAUACCAGAACAUCAAGUUACUGUCAAAGACACUGGAAAAUUGGAAUCAAAAUGUGAAAUCUUUGUAGAAAAUUUGAGGAGGGAGGAUAUCAGAAUUACCUUCUGGGGUGACAUAGCUAGAGAGUUUGAUAUGGAAAGAGUUAAACAGUUAUCCCCACCAGUGCUCGCUGUAUUCACGGGUUUAAGGUUGACCAAAUUCCAAGAACGGGUAACAGCAGCAACAACAGGCCAUACAUGCAUCAUGAUCAAUCCAGAUAUUCCAAUAGCAAAUGAAUACAAAUGGGGAACGAGGUCAAAUUUGGUUUACACAGACAAGGAUAUUGAUGAGAUCCGAGCAGAAUGGGCUAAGCAUGUUUUGAAGUUCCCAGAAAAUUAAGUAUCAGCCUAUAUAUCUGCUUUGGUUUUUGGUAGCUAGGUUAUGAGCAGUAGUAGUGUCCAGGAACUGCUUUUGUGCAUUUUGACAAAACUGAUGGAAAGUGUUGAACAAUAUAAUGCAUGCAGUUGUUGUAACUACUAUAUGGAUGCUACAAGGUUUUUGUCUUAGUUAGAUUAGGAUCCAUGCAACAAUGGCAGUAAUUAAAAUCGGUUAAUGUAAAGGCUAGCAUGCUAGCUAGUUUAAUUAGUAUUAUGCAACUGAUGGGAAUGUAUUUUGGUGGGUUAAUUGAUGCAAUGAGGAAUUUGCUGAUUUCAGAUCUUAUAA
Molecule: RNA transcript, 2128 nt
Organism: Rosa chinensis
Lineage: Eukaryota; Viridiplantae; Streptophyta; Magnoliopsida; Rosales; Rosaceae
Exons: 11
Source: RefSeq, a predicted model, not a curated record